RNAcentral lists this ribosomal RNA (366 nucleotides) under uncultured Helicobacter sp. RNAcentral describes it as "bacterial SSU rRNA". It matches the Rfam family "Bacterial small subunit ribosomal RNA", at positions 275 to 667 of the family's 1533-position model. The record is from RNAcentral. Lineage: Bacteria; Pseudomonadati; Campylobacterota; Epsilonproteobacteria; Campylobacterales; Helicobacteraceae.
UAUGACGGGUAUCCGGCCUGAGAGGGUGAUCGGACACACUGGAACUGAGACACGGUCCAGAUCCUACGGGAGGCAGCAUAGGGAAUAUUGCUCANGGGCGAAAGCCUGAACACAACGCCGCGUGGAGGAUGAAGGUUUUAGGAUGUAAACUCCUUUUGUUAGAGAAGAUAUGACGGUAUCUAACGAAUAAGCACCGGCUAACUCCGUGCCAGCAGCCGCGGUAAUACGGAGGGUGCAAGCGUUACUCGGAAUCACUGGGCGUAAAGAUGCGUAGGCGGGAAGGUAAGUCAGAUGUGAAAUCCUGUAGCUUAACUACAGAACUGCAUUUGAAACUACUUUUCUAGAUGUGGGAGAGGUAGGUGGAAU